AGUGAACGCUGGCGGUAGGCCUAACACAUGCAAGUCGAACGGCAGCACAGUAAGAGCUUGCUCUUACGGGUGGCGAGUGGCGGACGGGUGAGGAAUACAUCGGAAUCUACUUUUUCGUGGGGGAUAACGUAGGGAAACUUACGCUAAUACCGCAUACGACCUACGGGUGAAAGCAGGGGAUCUUCGGACCUUGCGCGAUUGAAUGAGCCGAUGUCGGAUUAGCUAGUUGGCGGGGUAAAGGCCCACCAAGGCGACGAUCCGUAGCUGGUCUGAGAGGAUGAUCAGCCACACUGGAACUGAGACACGGUCCAGCCUCCUACGGGAGGCAGCAGUGGGGAAUAUUGGACAAUGGGCGCAAGCCUGAUCCAGCCAUACCGCGUGGGUGAAGAAGGCCUUCGGGUUGUAAAGCCCUUUUGUUGGGAAAGAAAAGCAGCAGGUUAAUACCCCGCUGUUCUGACGGUACCCAAAGAAUAAGCACCGACUAACUUCGU
Molecule: ribosomal RNA, 491 nt
Filed under: uncultured bacterium
Lineage: Bacteria
Description: partial 16S ribosomal RNA
Rfam family: Bacterial small subunit ribosomal RNA
Source: RNAcentral